UUAGUUUGGUUUUUUUGUUUGCCUUCCAUUUAAGUGUUAGUCAAAGGAAAUGGCUCGUGCAUCAUUAUUUAACACAUCCACAGCUGGCACAGCCUCAUUGGAUGGUUUUCUGCUGCUCAGAUCUGCUUCACCCCCGCUUGAGUCUGGCCCUGACCCUGUCCCCGUAAGGAAGCCAUAAGGAGGGCAGUGACAAUGUGGCUGCUGAGUGCUUUCAUCCUGGCAGCUGUUUUUUCUUGCAGUUCUGCACAAGUCUUGCAGCAAACCCCCAUAUCCGUCACCAAGCCAGAAAGCAAAACGGUGCUAAUCAACUGUCACAUCUCCGAUACUGAUUUUGAUAAUGUUUUCAUUCACUGGUACCAACAGAGGCCCAACGCAGCUCCCAAGCGCAUUGCCUACAUGUCCUCCAGGGUCUUCCUCGAAAACAAGUCCGAUGAGGGAAAGUUUAGUAUCGAGAAGGACGCUGCCAAAUCUGUCUGCACCCUGACGGUGAGCAAAGUAACUCUGCAAGACUCUGCUACCUACUACUGUGCUAGGUGGGAUGCACAGCAGUAGAAAGCCAUAGGGGACCCGCACAAAGAUGUGCUCUGCUUUCUGAACCAGAUCCUGAAGUGUUUGAAAACACGCAGGAACAUCCCCACCCUACUUUCCCUAUCAGCCCUGAAUCAGACACACUGUACAGGCAGCCAGAUACCAAAGACGCUGCGGAGCUAGUGCAGGCUUUGCAGACACACACACUACAGCCAGCACCAGCAGAGCUGUUACUUCACUUUACCAACUAAAAGGGUGUUUUUAUAGGUCUGGCUGGAUUGCCUCUGGGUGGGUUUACAGGACAGCAGGGUGGGCUAGCUAAAAGAAGAAAAAACCUUUCUAUUCCUACUACCCUUCAGGCUACAUCUUUGGAAUAAAUCCCCAGUUACAUCAUUUGCGUGGCAGAAUAGAAGGAUGUAAGUAAAAAUAAACCUGAAGCACCGCUCAGGACUGCAGAUGUAAUAUACCCAUUUU
Non-coding RNA from Aquila chrysaetos chrysaetos, 1002 nucleotides. Lineage: Eukaryota; Metazoa; Chordata; Aves; Accipitriformes; Accipitridae. The record is from the annotation of a RefSeq genome assembly.